Molecule: ribosomal RNA, 492 nt
Filed under: uncultured bacterium
Lineage: Bacteria
Description: partial 16S ribosomal RNA
Rfam family: Bacterial small subunit ribosomal RNA
Source: RNAcentral
AGUGAACGCUGGCGGUAGGCCUAACACAUGCAAGUCGAACGGCAGCACAGUAAGAGCUUGCUCUUACGGGUGGCGAGUGGCGGACGGGUGAGGAAUACAUCGGAAUCUACUUUUUCGUGGGGGAUAACGUAGGGCCACUUCCGCUAAUACCGCAUACGACCUACGGGUGAAAGCAGGGGAUCUUCGGACCUUGCGCGAUUGAAUUAGCCGAUGUCGGAUUAGCUAGUUGGCGGGGUAAAGGCCCACCAAGGCGACGAUCCGUAGCUGGUCUGAGAGGAUGAUCAGCCACACUGGAACUGAGACACGGUCCAGACUCCUACGGGAGGCAGCAGUGGGGAAUAUUGGACAAUGGGCGCAAGCCUGAUCCAGCCAUACCGCGUGGGUGAAGAAGGCCUUCGGGUUGUAAAGCCCUUUUGUUGGGAAAGAAAAGAAGCAGGUUAAUACCCCGCUGUUCUGACGGUACCCAAAGAAUAAGCACCGGCUAACUUCGUG